UCCUAUUCCCUUACAACUCCUAAUUCUUCUCUAAGAAAAAACCUCCUACAUGAAUGUCUCUCUCAAUUAGGACUCUCCUAACUAGAGUCCUAACAGAAUGUCCCUCUCAAUUAGGACUCUCCUAGCUAGAGUCCUAACAGAAUGUCCCUCUCAAUUAGGACUCUGCUAGCUAAAGUCCUAACAGUUUUACAUGAAUGUCCCUCUCAAUUAGGACUCUCCUAGCUAGAGUCCUAACAAACCCGCCCUCUUCAAAUCAGCCUUGUCCUCGAGGCUGACGAUUCAUGAAUUUUGAGAAUUUGAUCUUCAAGUCAUCAUAGUUCUCCAAAGUGGCAUCUUCUGUUAGUAGGUUUGCCCACUGUAUUAGCAAUUCAGUAGUGGAUCGUCGUCGUCGAGUCAUAAUCCGUCGAUCAAUAAUGGCAC
RNAcentral lists this long non-coding RNA (420 nucleotides) under Musa acuminata (dwarf banana). RNAcentral's name for it is "long non-coding RNA (MACU_LNC010101)". Lineage: Eukaryota; Viridiplantae; Streptophyta; Magnoliopsida; Zingiberales; Musaceae. The record is from RNAcentral.